This 759-nucleotide ribosomal RNA is filed under the name uncultured bacterium. RNAcentral's name for it is "bacterial SSU rRNA". It matches the Rfam family "Bacterial small subunit ribosomal RNA", at positions 28 to 776 of the family's 1533-position model. The record is from RNAcentral.
AUUGAACGCUGGCGGCAGGCUUAACACAUGCAAGUCGAACGGUAACAGGGAGAAACUUGUUUCUCUGCUGACGAGUGGCGGACGGGUGAGUAAUGCUUGGGAAUCUGCCUUAUGGAGGGGGAUAACCACUGGAAGCGGUGGCUAAUACCGCGUAAUAUCUUCGGAUUAAAGUGUGGGACUUUCGAGCCACACGCCAUAAGAUGAGCCCAAGUGAGAUUAGGUUGUUGGUGAGGUAAUGGCUCACCAAGCUUACGAUCUCUAGCUGGUUUGAGAGGAUGACCAGCCACACUGGGACUGAGACACGGCCCAGACUCCUACGGGAGGCAGCAGUGGGGAAUAUUGCACAAUGGGCGCAAGCCUGAUGCAGCCAUGCCGCGUGAAUGAAGAAGGCCUUAGGGUUGUAAAGUUCUUUCAUUAGUGAGAAAGCGGUUAUAUCUAAUAGGUGUAACCAUUGAUGUUAGCUAAAGAAGAAGCACCGGCUAACUCCGUGCCAGCAGCCGCGGUAAUACGGAGGGUGCGAGCGUUAAUCGGAAUGACUGGGCGUAAAGGGCACGCAGGCGGUUAUUUAAGUCAGAUGUGAAAGCCCCGAGCUUAACUUGGGAAUUGCAUUUGAUACUGGGUAACUAGAGUCCUCUAGGGAGGGGUAGAAUUCCAUGUGUAGCGGUGAAAUGCGUAGAGAUGUGGAGGAAUACCGAAGGCGAAGGCAGCCCCUUGGAGAGAGACUGACGCUCAUGUGCGAAAGCGUGGGUAGCAAACAGG